GUCGAUCGGGACUGUGAAUCCGAAUUCUCUCUUCGAAAAUCUCUAGAGCCGAUUGAAUUGUACGGAUUAAAAAUCAGUGAGCAUUUUCCGUUCAUCCAAAAAUGGAAUCAGUGUUUAUUGUGAGUGGAUAAAUCGACGAGUAGUAAUUUUCGCUGAUAAUUAGUUCCAACCGCUGCGCAACUCCAUCAAUCUCGCGUCUGCGGAGAACGCAGACAUUUUCAACUUCGACAUUUGUGCCGUUUCCACUCUUAGCUGUACGGUGUAGUAUAAUAGCAGCUAUAAAUGCU
RNAcentral lists this unclassified non-coding RNA (287 nucleotides) under Athalia rosae (coleseed sawfly). Its description in RNAcentral is "misc RNA ENSAEAG00005007789.1". Lineage: Eukaryota; Metazoa; Arthropoda; Insecta; Hymenoptera; Athaliidae. The record is from RNAcentral.